RNAcentral lists this ribosomal RNA (433 nucleotides) under uncultured bacterium. RNAcentral's name for it is "partial 16S ribosomal RNA". It matches the Rfam family "Bacterial small subunit ribosomal RNA", at positions 29 to 507 of the family's 1533-position model. The record is from RNAcentral.
AACGAACGCUGGCGGCAUGCCUAACACAUGCAAGUCGAACGAGACCUUCGGGUCUAGUGGCGCACGGGUGCGUAACGCGUGGGAACCUGCCCUUAGGUACGGAAUAACUCCCCGAAAGGGGUGCUAAUACCGGAUAAUGUCUUCGGACCAAAGAUUUAUCGCCUUUGGAUGGGCCCGCGUUGGAUUAGCUAGUUGGUAGGGUAAAAGCCUACCAAGGCGACGAUCCAUAGCUGGUCUGAGAGGAUGAUCAUCCACACUGGGACUGCGACACGGCCCAGACUCCUACGGGAGGCAGCAGUGGGGAAUAUUGGACGAUGGGCGAAAGCCUGAUCCAGCAAUGCCGCGUGAGUGAUGAAGGCCUUAGGGUUGUAAAGCUCUUUUACCCGGGAUGAUAAUGACAGUACCGGGAGAAUAAGCUCCGGCUAACUCCGUG